UACGUAGGGUGCAAGCAUUAUCCGGAGUGACUGGGCGUAAAGAGUUGCGUAGGUGGUUUGUUAAGUGAAUAGUGAAAUCUGGGGGCUCAACCUCACAGACUAUUAUUCAAACUGGCAAACUCGAGAAUGGUAGAGGUAACUGGAAUUUCUAGUGUAGGAGUGAAAUCCGUAGAUAUUAGAAGGAACACCAAUGGCGUAGGCAGGUUACUGGACCAUUUCUGACACUGAGGCACGAAAGCGUGGGGAGCGAACCGG
RNAcentral lists this ribosomal RNA (255 nucleotides) under uncultured bacterium. RNAcentral describes it as "partial 16S ribosomal RNA". It matches the Rfam family "Bacterial small subunit ribosomal RNA", at positions 524 to 776 of the family's 1533-position model. The record is from RNAcentral.